This 844-nucleotide ribosomal RNA is filed under the name uncultured Lysobacter sp. Its description in RNAcentral is "bacterial SSU rRNA". It matches the Rfam family "Bacterial small subunit ribosomal RNA", at positions 48 to 880 of the family's 1533-position model. The record is from RNAcentral. Lineage: Bacteria; Pseudomonadati; Pseudomonadota; Gammaproteobacteria; Lysobacterales; Lysobacteraceae.
CUAACACAUGCAAGUCGAACGGCAGCACAGAGGAGCUUGCUCCUUGGGUGGCGAGUGGCGGACGGGUGAGGAAUACGUCGGAAUCAGCCUAUUUGUGGGGGAUAACGUAGGGAAACUUACGCUAAUACCGCAUACGACCUACGGGUGAAAGUGGGGGACCUUCGGGCCUCACGCAGAUAGAUGAGCCGACGUCGGAUUAGCUAGUUGGCGGGGUAAAGGCCCACCAAGGCGACGAUCCGUAGCUGGUCUGAGAGGAUGAUCAGCCACACUGGAACUGAGACACGGUCCAGACUCCUACGGGAGGCAGCAGUGGGGAAUAUUGGACAAUGGGCGCAAGCCUGAUCCAGCCAUGCCGCGUGUGUGAAGAAGGCCUUCGGGUUGUAAAGCACUUUUGUCCGGAAAGAAAAGCUUAGGGUUAAUAACCCUGAGUCAUGACGGUACCGGAAGAAUAAGCACCGGCUAACUUCGUGCCAGCAGCCGCGGUAAUACGAAGGGUGCAAGCGUUACUCGGAAUUACUGGGCGUAAAGCGUGCGUAGGUGGUUUGUUAAGUCUGAUGUGAAAGCCCUGGGCUCAACCUGGGAAUGGCAUUGGAAACUGGCUUACUAGAGUGCGGUAGAGGGUAGUGGAAUUCCCGGUGUAGCAGUGAAAUGCGUAGAUAUCGGGAGGAACAUCUGUGGCGAAGGCGACUACCUGGACCAGCACUGACACUGAGGCACGAAAGCGUGGGGAGCAAACAGGAUUAGAUACCCAGGUAGUCCACGCCCUAAACGAUGCGAACUGGAUGUUGGGGGCAACUUGGCCCUCAGUAUCGAAGCUAACGCGUUAAGUUCGCCGCCUGGGAAG